RNAcentral lists this ribosomal RNA (468 nucleotides) under uncultured bacterium. Its description in RNAcentral is "partial 16S ribosomal RNA". It matches the Rfam family "Bacterial small subunit ribosomal RNA", at positions 28 to 507 of the family's 1533-position model. The record is from RNAcentral.
GACGAACGCUGGCGGCGUGCUUAACACAUGCAAGUCGAACGGAAAGGCCCUGCUUUUGUGGGGUGCUCGAGUGGCGAACGGGUGAGUAACACGUGAGUAACCUGCCCUUGACUUUGGUAUAACUUCAGGAAACUGGGGCUAAUACCGGAUAGGAGCUCCUGCUGCAUGGUGGGGGUUGGAAAGUUUCGGCGGUUGGGGAUGGACUCGCGGCUUAUCAGCUUGUUGGUGGGGUAGUGGCUUACCAAGGCUUUGACGGGUAGCCGGCCUGAGAGGGUGACCGGCCACAUUGGGACUGAGAUACGGCCCAGACUCCUACGGGAGGCAGCAGUGGGGAAUAUUGCACAAUGGGCGGAAGCCUGAUGCAGCAACGCCGCGUGCGGGAUGACGGCCUUCGGGUUGUAAACCGCUUUCGCCUGUGACGAAGCGUGAGUGACGGUAAUGGGUAAAGAAGCACCGGCUAGCUACGUG